Molecule: long non-coding RNA, 502 nt
Organism: Thunnus maccoyii (southern bluefin tuna)
Lineage: Eukaryota; Metazoa; Chordata; Actinopteri; Scombriformes; Scombridae
Exons: 2
Source: RefSeq, a predicted model, not a curated record
GCACAGACAAAGAAAGCCAUCAUUGCUGCAGGAGAACACAAGGAAGAUGGAGCGGGACGCAGAGCCACAGAGCGCAACAGGCAGAUGCAGCUGCAGAGCCAAAGGGCAGUCCAAGGAGCUGAGGCCACGAGUUAUACUCACUCUGGCAAGCUACACACAUUCUGGACAGCUGGGGCAAGCUGUCCAGACAAGGUGCAGCAGCAGUGGUGCGUGAGUGUGGGGCAGCAGCGGAAGGGACAAGAUGGCUACGGAGCUAAAAGUGGAUUGGAGAGGGCGGCAUGUUGGUGGAGCGGCUGGAUAAUUGGACACAGUGACGGACUGGCAAGAGACUCUGUACUGUAAAAAGAGACUUAAUUCCUUUUAUCCUAUAUUUAUUGGACUUUAAUCUUUUUACUUUUUUACCAUUUUACACAAAGCCUUGGUUUUAGAUUGCUAGUUUUAAUAACCUUGCAUUGUACAUCCAUAUUUAUCGAAUCAUUUGUGAAUAAAUUAUUCAACUGGA